CCUACGGGUGGCAGCAGUGAGGAAUAUUGGUCAAUGGACGCAAGUCUGAACCAGCCAUGCCGCGUGCAGGAAGACGGCUCUAUGAGUUGUAAACUUCUUUUGUACGAGGGUAAACGCAGAUACGCGUAUCUGUCUGAAAGUACCUGACGAAUAAGGAUCGGCUAACUCCGUGCCAGCAGCCGCGGUAAUACGGAGGAUUCGAGCGUUAUCCGGAUUUAUUGGGUUUAAAGGGUGCGUAGGCGGUCGGAUAAGUUAGAGGUCAAAUCCCGAGGCUCAACUUCGGACUCGCCUGUGAAACGGUGAGGCUCGAGAGGAGUUGAGGUAGGCGGAAUGCAUGGUGUAGCGGUGAAAUGCUUAGAGAUCAUACAGAACACCGAUUGCGAAGGCAGCUUACCGAGCUACUUCUGACGUUGAGGCACGAAAGCGUGGGGAGCGAACAGGAUUAGAUACCCUUGUAGUC
This 460-nucleotide ribosomal RNA is filed under the name uncultured bacterium. RNAcentral describes it as "partial 16S ribosomal RNA". It matches the Rfam family "Bacterial small subunit ribosomal RNA", at positions 338 to 795 of the family's 1533-position model. The record is from RNAcentral.